This 516-nucleotide ribosomal RNA is filed under the name uncultured actinomycete. RNAcentral describes it as "bacterial SSU rRNA". It matches the Rfam family "Bacterial small subunit ribosomal RNA", at positions 746 to 1251 of the family's 1533-position model. Lineage: Bacteria; Bacillati; Actinomycetota; Actinomycetes; Actinomycetales. The record is from RNAcentral.
CUGAGGAGCGAAAGCGUGGGGACCGACCAGGAUUAGAUACCCUGGUAGUCCACGCCGUAAACGUUGGGAACUUGGGUGUUGGCGACAUUCCACGUCGUUGGUGCCGCAGCUAACGCAUUAAGUUCCCCGCCUGGGGAGUACGGCCGCAAGGCUAAAACUCAAAGGAAUUGACGGGGGCCGGCACAAGCAGCGGGAGCAUGUGGCUUAAUUCGACGCAACGCGAAGAACCUUACCAAGGCUUGACAUAUACCGGAAAGCAUCAGAGAUGGUGCCCCCCUUGUGGUCGGUAUACAGGUGGUGCAUGGCUGUCGUCAGCUCGUGUCGUGAGAUGUUGGGUUAAGUCCCGCAACGAGCGCAACCCUUGUUCUGUGUUGCCAGCAUGCCCUUCGGGGUGAUGGGGACUCACAGGAGACCGCCGGGGUCAACUCGGAGGAAGGUGGGGACGACGUCAAGUCAUCAUGCCCCUUAUGUCUUGGGCUGCACACGUGCUACAACUGGCCGCUACAACAAGCUGCG